CCUACGGGUGGCAGCAGUGAGGGAUAUUGGUCAAUGGAGGAAACCCUGAACCAGCAACGCCGCGUGCGGGAAGACGGUUUUCGGAGUGUAAACCUCUAUCCUCUGUGAAGUGAAUGACGGUAGCAGAAGAGGAAGCUCCGGCUAACUCGGUGACAGCAGCCGCGGUAAGACGGAGGGAGCAAGCGUUAUCCGGAUUUACUGGGUGUAAAGGGGGAGUAGGCGGCUUUGCAAGUCAGAAGUGAAAUCCCUGGGCUUAACCCAGGAACCGCUGUUGAAACUGCAUAGCUUGAGUGGAGUGGAGGUAGGCGGAAUUCCCGGGGUAGCGGUGAAAUGCGUAGAGAUCAGAAGGAACACCGGUGGCGAAGGCGGCCUACUGGGCUAUAACUGACGUUGAGGCACGAAAGCGUGGGGAGCAAACAGGAUUAGAUACCCGUGUAGUC
RNAcentral lists this ribosomal RNA (440 nucleotides) under uncultured bacterium. RNAcentral describes it as "partial 16S ribosomal RNA". It matches the Rfam family "Bacterial small subunit ribosomal RNA", at positions 338 to 795 of the family's 1533-position model. The record is from RNAcentral.